This 789-nucleotide ribosomal RNA is filed under the name Triticum aestivum (bread wheat). RNAcentral describes it as "partial small subunit ribosomal RNA". Lineage: Eukaryota; Viridiplantae; Streptophyta; Magnoliopsida; Poales; Poaceae. The record is from RNAcentral.
AUGGCCGCCGCCGACCUCCAUUGUCUCCCCCAACCCUGGCCUCCACUCCACUGUCCUUGGCCCCUCCCCGUCUUGCCGUGGACGCAGAUCCGCUGGAGCUGCUCAGCCCGCGGUCAGACCCGCCCUCCCUCGACCCCUGCCCGCGCCGGAAACCCUAGCCGCCGGUCAUGGCGACCGACCGAAGGGCGCAGGCACAGGGCUCGGCUCGACGGCAGUGCUUGAAACUGUGAGGAUGACAAGGACAAGACCUCCAAGCUUUGUUUUGUUCUUCUUCUUCAUGUGCCAUUUGCAGCAUCAAGGGGAUUUUUCGACCGCUACCAGCAGGCCACCGGGACCAUCCUGUGGACCGAGCAGUAUGAGUUCUGCUACUAGUUGUUGUGUACUCCUAGUGCUAUAGUUGUUGUGUAGUAAUACAGAAAUAUUAAUGCUCAAACCUGAUGAUGUGGCCUGCAGCGCACUUGCUUCGACGUCGACCCACCCGUCGUCAUCGCCUUCGAGGCCAACGAGGACACGGCAGGCGCCGUCGGCCUCAGCGACGGCUUCCACCACUACCACAUCAUCGUCACCUACGAGUUCCACGACGGCGUCUGGGCCGUCGAGUCCUUCUGCAGCUGCUGCAGCUGUUCCUUCCACAGUUUGGGUGGGACUCAUCGGAUCGGCCUCCUUGUUUCCUAUUUCAGGGACAGUCGGAUUAUUCCUGGAGCUGCCGCAACAGAAGUAGAACUGGCAAAGAGAUUGAAGGAGUUUUCUCUGAAGGAAAUAGGGACUCAAGACAUAUUUGAUAUGUGA